Molecule: small nuclear RNA, 139 nt
Organism: Heterocephalus glaber (naked mole-rat)
Lineage: Eukaryota; Metazoa; Chordata; Mammalia; Rodentia; Bathyergidae
Gene: U4
Rfam family: U4 spliceosomal RNA
About the family: U4 small nuclear RNA (U4 snRNA) is a component of the major U2-dependent spliceosome. The structure of U4 snRNA from yeast and human has been reported.
Source: Ensembl
AGCUUUGUGCAGUGGUAGUAUCAUAGCCAAUGAUGUUUAUCUGAGGUGUGAUUAUUGCUAAUUGAAGAAUCAGAAUCCAAAUGAUGAUAAUUCAUUGUAAUGCAUUCAUGUCUUUAAUUUUUUCUUCAAUUUGCAGAUU